Molecule: non-coding RNA, 1700 nt
Organism: Plectropomus leopardus (leopard coralgrouper)
Lineage: Eukaryota; Metazoa; Chordata; Actinopteri; Perciformes; Serranidae
Source: RefSeq, a predicted model, not a curated record
UAUUUCCUGCUUUGGGCCUUAUUAUAAUUUGAUAUGUCUAAUCUAUUAGGGCAUUUUUAAAGUAAUCUAAGCAAGGAGUAUAAACCUGCUAUAAUUUUCAUAUAUACAUUUUUUAAACAUUUUUUUGUUGUUGUUGUCUGGCUCAUGUAUGUAAAACAUUCACGCAACACAAAUAACAGACAAAUCAUACAAUUAAGUGAAAUCAAACCAAAAACUUUGGCUCAGUCACCUCAAAUGUACGUCUUUCAGUGUAUAAACCAAAAAUUAUACAGAAUGUGUUUCUCUGUAUAUCCCUCUGGGUGCUAUUGUCAUACUACACCUCAUGCACUCGACAGGAGCAGCUGUAUUUCUGAUUUGUCUGUGAAAUGAAGCACCUUGACACUUGUAUUUGGAUCUGUUUAUGGAGCCCUCAACCACAGCUGGCUCUUUCUUCAUAGGCAGUAAAUAAAGACUGCAGGUUGUGUGCUGUUUCAAAUGAUUUUUGGCAGUUAUUCAAAUUGCUGCCACAACAAACCAGUGCACUUUCAUAAUUAAAUUGGGUCUGCACAUUACAGUUUAUUUUUGUUCAUGCUGCACAUCAAUGACUACAGUUGACGCUGUGACCAAAAUGUAACAUAUAACCUAAAGUGUAUCUUGCGAUAGAUUGCUCCAGCCACAAUACAGCGAUUCACAACUUUAAACAAAUGUGGGCCAGUGGGCGUAAAGUGGGGAGCACUGGCUCCUUCCCAACUUCCUACCCCCUACUUCUGGCCCUCUUGCUCAGACCACACCCAUCUUCAAAGUCAGACUUUAUUUUGAUCUCAGCUACACACCUGUCAAGUUUUGUGACUGUAUCUUACAUGGUUGUGACAUUAUCACAUGGACAAAAUCUAAAAAAAAAAUAAAUAAAAAUCAGCAGUAAGUGGUAAUUCUUCCUACCUGGACCACAUGUAGCCAUGGUGACACACACACACACACAGACUCCUGAGAGGAAAACAAUAUCAACUUUUGCAAUGUUGUCAUGGCUGGUAAUAAUACACGUUUCAAUGCUGUACAAAUUUUAAGAGUGUAUAAUUACUUUUGUGGUUUCUUCUCAGAAAACAAUUUGCACGUCUGGAUCCUCGUCUGUUGCGCAGUGUUUGCUGUACUGAUAGUGGUGUGUUGCUGUUUGUGCUGGAAAAAGAAAUGUCAGAAGAAGUCAGGUAUAUAACUAAUAAACGCCCUGAGUUUGGACUUUUAACUGGGGCACUUAUGGGCACCGAAGGGAGGACUCACAAAAGGAGCAGGACUUUUACACAAAAUAGGAGCUGGAAAAGUCUUUGAAGUUUUCUUUCUGUAUCUAGUGUUGAAAAAGAUUUUUAAUAUGCAACGCUGACUUAUAUCAGUGAAUUGCAGCAGCAGCAACUGUGUAACUAUAUUUGUGUGGUCACUGGUUAAAAUAACUGAAUGUAAAUCACCAUAGUUUUGAUCUAUCCUUUGUGAAACAUUGAUUCGAGAUUGUUGGUCAUUAUGUAAAAAAAUGUAAAAAAUUACAGUAACUAAUCUUUAUUCUUUUAAAUACAUGAUUAUUUUUUUCUCUUUUUUGAUUUCAUUCAGUGUCUGUGGUCUGUUUAUGUUACUGUGCUUUACUCAAGUUAAACUUGGUGUGUAAUAUGAGCUGGAAUAUUUGCACUGUAGAUACCAAAAAUAAAACUUUGUACUAUUAAGCACAACAUUUUUAA